Molecule: unclassified non-coding RNA, 343 nt
Filed under: soil metagenome
Description: partial contains 5.8S ribosomal RNA, internal transcribed spacer 2, and large subunit ribosomal RNA
Rfam family: 5.8S ribosomal RNA (bases 1-120)
Source: RNAcentral
GAUGAAGAACGCAGUGAAAUGCGAUAAGUAAUGUGAAUUGCAGAAUUCAGUGAAUCAUCGAAUCUUUGAACGCACAUUGCGCCCGCUAGUAUUCUGGCGGGCAUGCCUGUCCGAGCGUCAUUUCAACCCUCAAGCCCCCGGGCUUGGUGUUGGGGAUCGGCGAGCCUCCGCGCCCGCCGUCCCCUAAAUCUAGUGGCGGUCUCGCUGUAGCUUCCUCUGCGUAGUAGCACACCUCGCACUGGGAAACAGCGCGGCCACGCCGUUAAACCCCCAACUUCUGAACGUUUGACCGCGGAUCAGGUAGGAAUACCCGCUGAACUUAAGCAUAUCAAUAAGCGGAGGA